AGCGAACGCUGGCGGCGUGCCUAAUACAUGCAAGUCGAGCGAAUGGAUUAAGAGCUUGCUCUUAUGAAGUUAGCGGCGGACGGGUGAGUAACACGUGGGUAACCUGCCCAUAAGACUGGGAUAACUCCGGGAAACCGGGGCUAAUACCGGAUAACAUUUUGAACCGCAUGGUUCGAAAUUGAAAGGCGGCUUCGGCUGUCCCUUAUGGAUGGACCCGCGUCGCAUUAGCUAGUUGGUGAGGUAACGGCUCACCAAGGCAACGAUGCGUAGCCGACCUGAGAGGGUGAUCGGCCACACUGGGACUGAGACACGGCCCAGACUCCUACGGGAGGCAGCAGUAGGGAAUCUUCCGCAAUGGACGAAAGUCUGACGGAGCAACGCCGCGUGAGUGAUGAAGGCUUUCGGGUCGUAAAACUCUGUUGUUAGGGAAGAACAAGUGCUAGUUGAAUAAGCUGGCACCUUGACGGUACCUAACCAGAAAGCCACGGCUAACUACGUGCCAGCAGCCGCCGUAA
RNAcentral lists this ribosomal RNA (515 nucleotides) under uncultured bacterium. Its description in RNAcentral is "partial 16S ribosomal RNA". It matches the Rfam family "Bacterial small subunit ribosomal RNA", at positions 29 to 523 of the family's 1533-position model. The record is from RNAcentral.